UACGGAGGAUGCGAGCGUUAUCCGGAUUUAUUGGGUUUAAAGGGUGCGUAGGCGGACUGUCAAGUCAGCGGUAAAAUUGAGAGGCUCAACCUCUUCCCGCCGUUGAAACUGGUGGUCUUGAGUGGAUGAGAAGUACGCGGAAUGCGUGGUGUAGCGGUGAAAUGCAUAGAUAUCACGCAGAACUCCGAUUGCGAAGGCAGCGUACCGGCAACCAACUGACGCUGAGGCACGAAAGCGUGGGGAUCAAACAGG
This 252-nucleotide ribosomal RNA is filed under the name uncultured bacterium. Its description in RNAcentral is "partial 16S ribosomal RNA". It matches the Rfam family "Bacterial small subunit ribosomal RNA", at positions 524 to 776 of the family's 1533-position model. The record is from RNAcentral.